AACGAACGCUGGCGGCAUGCCUAACACAUGCAAGUCGAACGAGACCAUCGGGUCUAGUUGCGCACGGGUGCGUAACGCGUGGGAAUCUGCCCAUGGGUUCGGAAUAAUAGUUGUAAAUGACUGCUAAUACCGGAUGAUUACGUAAGUUAAAAGAUUUAUCGCCCAAGGAUGAGCCCGCGUAGGAUUAGCUAGUUGGUGAGGUAAAGGCUCACCACGGCGACGAUCCUUAGCUGGUCUGAGAGGAUGAUCAGCCACACUGGGACUGAGACACGGCCCAGACUCCUACGGGAGGCAGCAGUGGGGAAUAUUGGACAAAGGGCGAAAGCCUGAUCCAGCAAUGCCGCGUGAGUGAUGAAGGCCUUAGGGUUGUAAAGCUCUUUUACCCGGGAUGAUAAUGACAGUACCGGGAGAAUAAGCUCCGGCUAACUCCGUG
Molecule: ribosomal RNA, 433 nt
Filed under: uncultured bacterium
Lineage: Bacteria
Description: partial 16S ribosomal RNA
Rfam family: Bacterial small subunit ribosomal RNA
Source: RNAcentral